CCUACGGGAUGCAGCAGUGGGGAAUACUGGACAAUGGGCGAAAGCCUGAUCCAGCAAUGCCGCAUGUGUGAAGAAGGUCUUCGGAUUGUAAAGCACUUUCGACGGGGACGAUGAUGACGGUAUCCGUAGAAGAAGCCCCGGCUAACUUCGUGCCAGCAGCCGCGGUAAUACGAAGGGGGCUAGCGUUGCUCGGAAUGACUGGGCGUAAAGGGCGCGUAGGCGGUUUAUGCAGUCAGAUGUGAAAUCCCCGAGCUUAACCUGGGAACUGCAUUUGAGACGCAAAGACUAGAGGUCGAGAGAGGGUUGUGGAAUUCCCAGUGUAGAGGUGAAGUUCGUAGAUAUUGGGAAGAACACCGGUGGCGAAGGCGGCAACCUGGCUCGAUACUGACGCUGAGGCGCGAAAGCGUGGGGAGCAAACAGGAUUAGAUACCCUUGUAGUC
Molecule: ribosomal RNA, 440 nt
Filed under: uncultured bacterium
Lineage: Bacteria
Description: bacterial SSU rRNA
Rfam family: Bacterial small subunit ribosomal RNA
Source: RNAcentral